UUCGCCCUUCGGGGUGCACCAGGCGCGAAAACUUUACAAUGCUGGCAACAGCGAUAAGGGGACCUUGAGUGCCAGGAUACAAUCCUGGCUGUCGUGAUGCCUAAAAAGCAUUAUAUAGCAAGGGCCGGGCAAGACCGGUGCCAGCCGCCGCGGUAACACCGGCGGCUCGAGUGGUAACCGCUAUUAUUGGGUCUAAAGGGUCUGUAGCCGGCUUGGUUAGUCUCUUGGGAAAUCCGGCAGCUUAACUGUCGGGCUUUCAGGAGAUACUGCCAGGCUCGAGACCGGGAGAGGUGAGAGGUACUUCAUGGGUAGGGGUGAAAUCUUGUAAUCCUUGAAGGACCACCAGUGGCGAAGGCGUCUCACCAGAACGGAUCUGACGGCAAGGGACGAAAGCUAGGGGCACGAACCGGAUUAGAUACCCGGGUAGUCCUAGCCGUAAACGAUACUCGCUAGGUGUCGGCCACGGUGCGACCGUGGUCGGUGCCGUAGGGAAGCCGUGAAGCGAGCCACCUGGGAAGUACGGCCGCAAGGCUGAAACUUAAAGGAAUUGGCGGGGGAGCAC
RNAcentral lists this ribosomal RNA (562 nucleotides) under uncultured archaeon. RNAcentral describes it as "bacterial SSU rRNA". It matches the Rfam family "Archaeal small subunit ribosomal RNA", at positions 317 to 879 of the family's 1478-position model. The record is from RNAcentral.